GCAGGAUAUUAACUUCAACCGUAGCAUCAAAGAUGCACUUGCUAAUGAAGAGAAAUUCUUCCAUAACCAGCCAGUUGGCACUAUUAAUGACCUUUUCUCUGCACUCCAUCACUUGUGCUUGUUGGUGUAAGUCCAAGGUUUCUUCUUAUCAAUGAAAGGUCUUGUCAAUUAUAAGUGACAAUUCCUUCAAAUGGUGGCAGCUCUUCUUUUUGGCAAUUCUGGUGCAGCAUAUAAAGGCAGUACACCCAGGACUGAAGGCUCACAUAAAAUACUCAAUUGGUCGCUGCAGCAAAGGAGCAUGCUGCAUAUGGUGAUAUUGCAGAGUCAAAGGUACACCUAUUUAUGUUAGCUAUGU
This is a non-coding RNA of Elaeis guineensis (African oil palm), 355 nucleotides long. The record is from RefSeq and is a predicted model, not a curated record. Lineage: Eukaryota; Viridiplantae; Streptophyta; Magnoliopsida; Arecales; Arecaceae.